CUUUAUCUUCGAUUAGAACUCUAAGAAAAAAUUACGCUGUUAUCCCUAAGGUAAUUUUUCUUUUAAUCUUAAUUAAAGGAUCAUUAAAAUAAACACUUAUUUAUGUAAUAAUAAAAAAAAAGUUAAAUAAAUUUUUUAAUCACCCCAAUUAAAUAUUUAAUUUUAAAAAAAUAAUAAACAAUUCCUUCUUUUUUAUUUUAAAAAUAAAUAUCAAACUCUAUAGGGUCUUCUCGUCUUUUAUAAAAAUUUAAGCUUUUUAACUUAAAAAUAAAAUUCAAAAAAUUAAAAUUGAGACAGUUAUUUUCUCAUCAAACCUUUCAUUCCAGCUUUCAAUUAAAAAACUAAUGAUUAUGCUACCUUAGCACAGUCAAAAUACUGCGGCCGUUUAA
RNAcentral lists this ribosomal RNA (389 nucleotides) under Ips confusus. RNAcentral's name for it is "partial 16S ribosomal RNA". The record is from RNAcentral. Lineage: Eukaryota; Metazoa; Arthropoda; Insecta; Coleoptera; Curculionidae.